GGGAGCGACUUGGCUUCGACAGGAGUAAGUCUGCUUAGAUGGCAUGUCGCUUUGGGCAAAGCGUAAAAAGCCCAAAUAAAAUUAAACGCAAACAACGUUAAAUUCGCUCCUGUUUACGCUAAAGCUGCGUAAGUUCAGUUGAGCCUGAAAUUUAAGUCAUACUAUCUAGCUUAAUUUUCGGUCAUUUUUGAUAGUGUAGCCUUGCGUUUGACAAGCGUUGAGGUGAAAUAAAGUCUUAGCCUUGCUUUUGAGUUUUGGAAGAUGAGCGAAGUAGGGUGAAGUAGUCAUCUUUGCUAAGCAUGUAGAGGUCUUUGUGGGAUUAUUUUUGGACAGGGGUUCGAUUCCCCUCGCUUCCACCA
Molecule: transfer-messenger RNA, 359 nt
Filed under: Campylobacter jejuni
Lineage: Bacteria; Pseudomonadati; Campylobacterota; Epsilonproteobacteria; Campylobacterales; Campylobacteraceae
Also listed under: 1 other name
Rfam family: transfer-messenger RNA
About the family: Bacterial tmRNA, also known as 10Sa RNA or SsrA, is named for its dual tRNA and mRNA-like properties. Its role is to liberate the mRNA from a stalled ribosome.
Source: RNAcentral